RNAcentral lists this ribosomal RNA (483 nucleotides) under uncultured bacterium. RNAcentral describes it as "partial 16S ribosomal RNA". It matches the Rfam family "Bacterial small subunit ribosomal RNA", at positions 30 to 507 of the family's 1533-position model. The record is from RNAcentral.
UUGAACGCUGGCGGCAGGCCUAACACAUGCAAGUCGAGCGGAUGAAGGGAGCUUGCUCCUGGAUUCAGCGGCGGACGGGUGAGUAAUGCCUAGGAAUCUGCCUGGUAGUGGGGGAUAACGUCCGGAAACGGGCGCUAAUACCGCAUACGUCCUGAGGGAGAAAGUGGGGGAUCUUCGGACCUCACGCUAUCAGAUGAGCCUAGGUCGGAUUAGCUAGUUGGUGGGGUAAAGGCCUACCAAGGCGACGAUCCGUAACUGGUCUGAGAGGAUGAUCAGUCACACUGGAACUGAGACACGGUCCAGACUCCUACGGGAGGCAGCAGUGGGGAAUAUUGGACAAUGGGCGAAAGCCUGAUCCAGCCAUGCCGCGUGUGUGAAGAAGGUCUUCGGAUUGUAAAGCACUUUAAGUUGGGAGGAAGGGCAGUAAGUUAAUACCUUGCUGUUUUGACGUUACCAACAGGAUAAGCACCGGCUAACUUCGUG